This 460-nucleotide ribosomal RNA is filed under the name uncultured bacterium. RNAcentral's name for it is "partial 16S ribosomal RNA". It matches the Rfam family "Bacterial small subunit ribosomal RNA", at positions 338 to 795 of the family's 1533-position model. The record is from RNAcentral.
CCUACGGGAGGCAGCAGUGAGGAAUAUUGGUCAAUGGACGAGAGUCUGAACCAGCCAAGCCGCGUGAAGGAUGACUGCCCUAUGGGUUGUAAACUUCUUUUAUAAAGGAAUAAAACGAGGCACGUGUGCCUUUUUGCAUGUACUUUAUGAAAAAGGAUCGGCUAACUCCGUGCCAGCAGCCGCGGUAAUACGUAGGUGGCAAGCGUUAUCCGGAAUGACUGGGCGUAAAGGGUGCGUAGGUGGUUUAGUAAGUUGGCGGUGAAAUUCCGGGGCUCAACCUCGGCGCUACCGCCAAAACUAGUAGACUCGAGUGCAGGAGAGGUAAGUGGAAUUCCUAGUGUAGCGGUGGAAUGCGUAGAUAUUAGGAGGAACAUCAGUGGCGAAGGCGACUUGCUGGACUGUAACUGACGCUGAGGCACGAAAGCGUGGGGAGCAAACAGGAUUAGAUACCCGAGUAGUC